GGGUAUGUAGCUCAGUUGUAUAGAGCAAUCGCCUUCUAAGCGAUCGGUCGCUGGUUAGAGUCCAGCCAUACCCA
This 74-nucleotide transfer RNA is filed under the name Pseudanabaenococcus habilitatus PCC 7502. Its description in RNAcentral is "tRNA-Arg (TCT) (tRNA-Arg-TCT-1-1)". It matches the Rfam family "tRNA". Rfam says of the family: Transfer RNA (tRNA) molecules are approximately 80 nucleotides in length. Their secondary structure includes four short double-helical elements and three loops (D, anti-codon, and T loops). Further hydrogen bonds mediate the characteristic L-shaped molecular structure. tRNAs have two regions of fundamental functional importance: the anti-codon, which is responsible for specific mRNA codon recognition, and the 3' end, to which the tRNAs corresponding amino acid is attached (by aminoacyl-tRNA synthetases). tRNAs cope with the degeneracy of the genetic code in two manners: having more than one tRNA (with a specific anti-codon) for a particular amino acid; and 'wobble' base-pairing, i.e. permitting non-standard base-pairing at the 3rd anti-codon position. The record is from Rfam by way of RNAcentral. Lineage: Bacteria; Bacillati; Cyanobacteriota; Cyanophyceae; Pseudanabaenales; Pseudanabaenaceae.